RNAcentral lists this ribosomal RNA (255 nucleotides) under uncultured bacterium. Its description in RNAcentral is "partial 16S ribosomal RNA". It matches the Rfam family "Bacterial small subunit ribosomal RNA", at positions 524 to 776 of the family's 1533-position model. The record is from RNAcentral.
GACGGAGGGUGCAAGCGUUGUUCGGAUUUACUGGGCGUAAAGGGCGCGUAGGCGGCCACCGCAAGUCGGUUGUGAAAUCUCUGGGCUUAACCCAGAAAGGUCAAUCGAUACUGCGGGGCUAGAGUGCAGAAGGGGCAACUGGAAUUCUCGGUGUAGCGGUGAAAUGCGUAGAUAUCGAGAGGAACACCUGCGGCGAAGGCGGGUUGCUGGGCUGACACUGACGCUGACAGCGCGAAAGCUAGGGGAGCGAACGGG